This 290-nucleotide long non-coding RNA is filed under the name Elaeis guineensis (African oil palm). RNAcentral describes it as "long non-coding RNA (EGUI_LNC020312)". The record is from RNAcentral. Lineage: Eukaryota; Viridiplantae; Streptophyta; Magnoliopsida; Arecales; Arecaceae.
GCAGCUGCCCAAACAUCAGGUCCAGGACCUAGAAUCUCUUGCGAAGAGGUUGGUAUAAGUUCCUCUCAGAUUUGGAGUUGAUCUGAGGUCGUUUAAGGUGCGGGUGAGAUCUCCAUCAACAUAUCUACAGGAAAGGCUGCAGCAGGACAGAUCUGCAAGGUCUGGUUCUAUCUACCUUCUUCCCUAUCUAGAACAUUCCGAUUCAAGAUCUACAAAUUGAAAGACCUCGGUCCAGGCCUAAUCUGGUUGGGUACCAGAUAUUGGAUUAUUUAGAGAUGAUCUUAGAGGCG